This 253-nucleotide ribosomal RNA is filed under the name uncultured bacterium. RNAcentral describes it as "partial 16S ribosomal RNA". It matches the Rfam family "Bacterial small subunit ribosomal RNA", at positions 524 to 776 of the family's 1533-position model. The record is from RNAcentral.
UACGGGGGGGGCAAGCGUUGUUCGGAAUUACUGGGCGUAAAGGGCUCGUAGAUGGCCAACUAAGUCAGACGUGAAAUCCCUCGGCUUAACCGGGGAACUGCGUCUGAUACUGGAUGGCUUGAGUGUGGGAGAGGGAUGCGGAAUUCCAGGUGUAGCGGUGAAAUGCGUAGAUAUCUGGAGGAACACCGGUGGCGAAGGCGGCAUCCUGGACCAUUACUGACACUGAAUAGCGAAAGCCAGGGGAGCAAACGGG